This 468-nucleotide ribosomal RNA is filed under the name uncultured bacterium. Its description in RNAcentral is "partial 16S ribosomal RNA". It matches the Rfam family "Bacterial small subunit ribosomal RNA", at positions 28 to 507 of the family's 1533-position model. The record is from RNAcentral.
GACGAACGCUGGCGGCGUGCUUAACACAUGCAAGUCGAACGGAAAGGCCCUGCUUUUGUGGGGUGCUCGAGUGGCGAACGGGUGAGUAACACGUGAGUAACCUGCCCUUGACUUUGGGAUAACUUCAGGAAACUGGGGCUAAUACCGGAUAGGAGCUCCUGCUGCAUGGUGGGGGUUGGAAAGUUUCGGCGGUUGGGGAUGGACUCGCGGCUUAUCAGCUUGUUGGUGGGGUAGUGGCUUACCAAGGCUUUGACGGGUAGCCGGCCUGAGAGGGUGACUGGCCACAUUGGGACUGAGAUACGGCCCAGACUCCUACGGGAGGCAGCAGUGGGGAAUAUUGCACAAUGGGCGGAAGCCUGAUGCAGCAACGCCGCGUGCGGGAUGACGGCCUUCGGGUUGUAAACCGCUUUCGCCUGAGACGAAGCGUGAGUGACGGUAAUGGGUAAAGAAGCACCGGCUAACUACGUG